This 252-nucleotide ribosomal RNA is filed under the name uncultured bacterium. RNAcentral describes it as "partial 16S ribosomal RNA". It matches the Rfam family "Bacterial small subunit ribosomal RNA", at positions 524 to 776 of the family's 1533-position model. The record is from RNAcentral.
UACGGAGGAUGCGAGCGUUAUCCGGAUUUAUUGGGUUUAAAGGGUGCGUAGGCGGAUCGUUAAGUCAGUGGUCAAAUUGAGGGGCUCAACCCCUUCCCGCCAUUGAAACUGGCGAUCUUGAGUGGAAGAGAAGUAUGCGGAAUGCGUGGUGUAGCGGUGAAAUGCAUAGAUAUCACGCAGAACCCCGAUUGCGAAGGCAGCAUGCUGGCUUCCUACUGACGCUGAAGCACGAAAGCGUGGGGAUCGAACAGG